RNAcentral lists this ribosomal RNA (586 nucleotides) under uncultured bacterium. Its description in RNAcentral is "partial 16S ribosomal RNA". It matches the Rfam family "Bacterial small subunit ribosomal RNA", at positions 355 to 1375 of the family's 1533-position model. The record is from RNAcentral.
UGGGGAAUUUUGGACAAUGGGCGAAAGCCUGAUCCAGCAAUGCCGCGUGUGUGAAGAAGGCCUUCGGGUUGUAAAGCACUUUUGUCCGGAAAGAAAUCCUUGGCUCUAAUACAGUCGGGGGAUGACGGUACCGGAAGAAUAAGCACCGGCUAACUACGUGCCAGCAGCCGCGGUAAUACGUAGGGUGCAAGCGUUAAUCGGAAUUACUGGGCGUAAAGCGUGCGCAGGCGGUUUGCUAAGGCCGAUGUGAAAUCCCCGGGCUCAACCUGGGAACUGCAUUGGUGACUGGCAGGCUAGAGUAUGGCAGAGGGGGGUUAGAAUUCCACGUGUAGCAGUGAAAUGCGUAGAGAUGUGGAGGAAUACCGAUGGCGAAGGCAGCCCCCUGGGCCAAUACUGACGCUCAUGCACGAAAGCGUGGGGAGCAAACAGGAUUAGAUACCCUGGUAGUCCACGCCCUAAACGAUGUCAACUAGUUGUUGGGGAUUCAUUUCCUUAGUAACGUAGCUAACGCGUGAAGUUGACCGCCUGGGGAGUACGGUCGCAAGAUUAAAACUCAAAUGAAUUGACGGGGUCAUAGCUGUUUCCU